Molecule: transfer RNA, 77 nt
Filed under: Escherichia coli
Lineage: Bacteria; Pseudomonadati; Pseudomonadota; Gammaproteobacteria; Enterobacterales; Enterobacteriaceae
Description: tRNA-Arg
Rfam family: tRNA
About the family: Transfer RNA (tRNA) molecules are approximately 80 nucleotides in length. Their secondary structure includes four short double-helical elements and three loops (D, anti-codon, and T loops).
Source: RNAcentral
CCGCCAUUAGCUCAUCAGGAAAGAGCGCCAGCCUUCGAAGCUGGCUGCGCGGGGUUCAAGUUCCCGAUGGCGGUCCA